This 252-nucleotide ribosomal RNA is filed under the name uncultured bacterium. Its description in RNAcentral is "partial 16S ribosomal RNA". It matches the Rfam family "Bacterial small subunit ribosomal RNA", at positions 524 to 776 of the family's 1533-position model. The record is from RNAcentral.
UACGGAGGAUGCGAGCGUUAUCCGGGUUUAUUGGGUUUAAAGGGUGCGUAGGCGGGCUUUUAAGUCAGCGGUAAAAAUUCGGGGCUCAACCCCGUCCGGCCGUUGAAACUGGGGGUCUUGAGUGGGCGAGAAGAAGGCGGAAUGCGUGGUGUAGCGGUGAAAUGCAUAGAUAUCACGCAGAACCCCGAUUGCGAAGGCAGCCUUCCGGCGCCCUACUGACGCUGAGGCACGAAAGUGCGGGGAUCGAACAGG